Molecule: ribosomal RNA, 360 nt
Filed under: uncultured eukaryote
Lineage: Eukaryota
Description: partial 18S ribosomal RNA
Rfam family: Eukaryotic small subunit ribosomal RNA
Source: RNAcentral
CAAAAGCAUAUAUUAACGUUGUUGCAGUUGAAAAGCUCGUAGUUGAAUGUUUGGUGUGGCGCGGUCCGGGCUCGGUCUUAUGGACCUUGUUUUCUGCGAUCGCGCUUGCCAUCCUCCCUCUUCUUUGGAGAGGGUCUUUUACUGUGAAUAAAAUGGGGUGUUCAAAGCAGAGCGUAGCUCGGAACAACCAAGCAUGGGAUAAUAAGAUAGGGCCUGGUUGCUAUUUUGUUGGUUUGCACAGCCGGGUAAUGAUUAACAGGGACAGUUGGGGGUAUUCGUAUUUAAUUGUCAGAGGUGAAAUUCUUGGAUUUAUGAAAGACGAACGACUGCGAAAGCAUUUACCAAGGAUGUUUUCAUUAA